UACGAAGGGGGCUAGCGUUGUUCGGAAUUACUGGGCGUAAAGCGCGCGCAGGCGGUCUUCCAAGUCAGUGGUGAAAGCCCGGAGCUCAACUCCGGAAUUGCCAUUGAAACUGUGAGACUGGAGUACGAGAGAGGUGAAUGGAAUUCCCAGUGUAGAGGUGAAAUUCGUAGAUAUUGGGAAGAACACCGGUGGCGAAGGCGGCUCACUGGCUCGUAACUGACGCUCAGGCGCGACAGCGUGGGGAUCAAACAGG
Molecule: ribosomal RNA, 253 nt
Filed under: uncultured bacterium
Lineage: Bacteria
Description: partial 16S ribosomal RNA
Rfam family: Bacterial small subunit ribosomal RNA
Source: RNAcentral